Molecule: long non-coding RNA, 940 nt
Filed under: Panax ginseng (ginseng)
Lineage: Eukaryota; Viridiplantae; Streptophyta; Magnoliopsida; Apiales; Araliaceae
Description: long non-coding RNA (PGIN_LNC015279)
Source: RNAcentral
AAAAAUAAAGGAAAUGCAACACAGAUAAAGAACAAACUAGAUGUUUGUUUUAGGUGUGGGAUGAAUGGGCAUUGGUCGCGUACCUGUCGUACGUCAAGGCAUCUGAUUAAUUUAUUCCAGGAGUCUCAAAAGAACAAAGUAAUGAAGGCAGAAAUAAAUUUUGUUAAUCAUUAAUUGGAUAUUGUUGAUGUUCCACCAAUGACCAACAAUAAGGAAAAGGUUGUUGAUAUUACUGAACCUUCUGAAAGUAUCUUUUGGGAUAUCGUUUAAUUAUUGUUUAAAUUAAACACCUUGCAUGUAUAAUAUUAUUUGUUUUCAUUGUAGCAUCCCCGAAUCCGGGUUCCAAAUCGCCGCGGAUCCGGUAUACUAAUUCUAUCACUAUUGCGGAAGAUAUAAACAUACAUUGUUUAUACAUUAAACUUUACACAUCAGUCCCAAGGUCCACAACCUUAACUUAAUACAUACCUUCAAUAUUAAAAAGGUUUACAAUACUAUUUUCGUUAGAAAAUUUAAUAAAUCUAACUGCAACAUAAAAAAAAACUUUGCACUUUGUCUUUGCCUCUGUCCUUAUUCAAGCCUUCAUCUUAAUCUGAAAAUUUUAUCAUGAUAUAGCAAGGGUGAGCAACAAAUUUGCCCAGCAAGUUUUACAUACAAUGGAGAUAUAUCAUGAUUGAAAAGAAUGAAUAAGCUUUCAAGUUUUCAACAAUAUAAUAAUUGUGAAAUAACAUGAAUCAAGUUUCAAUGAUUGAAUGACUGAACCAAUGAUAUUGGAUGUCAACAAUUAACAUGAACAAGUUUAACUGAAACCUAUGGUAAUGAAGGUGAUCAGCCUUUCAUACCUGAUGAACAUAAACAACAUGCACAAUGUGCGAAUCAAUAAAUUAUUGACGUGGUAUAAUCAACAAUAAUUAACCACUAACAUGCUUUGAAUUAACNNNNN